Molecule: long non-coding RNA, 462 nt
Organism: Limanda limanda (common dab)
Lineage: Eukaryota; Metazoa; Chordata; Actinopteri; Pleuronectiformes; Pleuronectidae
Exons: 3
Source: RefSeq, a predicted model, not a curated record
GUUUUCACAGCCUCAGCCCCCCCCCCCCACACACACACACAAACAAAGAGGCGUUAGGCUGAGACGCUGAAAGUCCGGAUUUAAAGUGCAGAAAAUUAAGCCAUUGAAUCUGCCUGUCCAUGACGUACAAAGACACACUAUGAGCCAGUAUGAUCCGACCAGACCUUACAUCAGCAUUGAGGAGUUGUCGGAGAAGAAAGAGGCUGAUUGAAGCGGGACAGAUGACAUGGAUCCAUCCUUCCACAGCCAGGAGCACACCGACCUGUGUCCCACACUUCAUAUAAGACUGGAAGCUACACUGGAUCUCACAGCUACACACCACAGACGUCUACACACUGGAGAAGAUUCAGACAGUCCCACAAAGAAGUCAUGACCCAGAGGCUGCAGAGAAACAUUUCAAGCCUCACCUGAGAUUUUGUACAAUAUUUUUGCUGUAUGUAAAUAAAGCUUUCACUCCACAUA